UACCAGCACCCCGAGUGGUCGGGACGAUUAUUGGGCCUAAAGCAUCCGUAGCCGGUUUUACAAGUCCCCCGUUAAAUCCACCUGCUUAACAGAUGGGCCGCGGAGGAUACUAUAAGACUAGGAGGCAGGAGAGGCAAGCGGUACUCAGUGGGUAGGGGUAAAAUCCGUUGAUCCAUUGAAGACCACCAGUGGCGAAGGCGGCUUGCCAGAAUGCGCUCGACGGUGAGGGAUGAAAGCUGGGGGAGCAAACCGG
This 253-nucleotide ribosomal RNA is filed under the name uncultured bacterium. Its description in RNAcentral is "partial 16S ribosomal RNA". It matches the Rfam family "Archaeal small subunit ribosomal RNA", at positions 474 to 727 of the family's 1478-position model. The record is from RNAcentral.